RNAcentral lists this ribosomal RNA (492 nucleotides) under uncultured bacterium. Its description in RNAcentral is "partial 16S ribosomal RNA". It matches the Rfam family "Bacterial small subunit ribosomal RNA", at positions 29 to 507 of the family's 1533-position model. The record is from RNAcentral.
AGUGAACGCUGGCGGUAGGCCUAACACAUGCAAGUCGAACGGCAGCACAGUAAGAGCUUGCUCUUACGGGUGGCGAGUGGCGGACGGGUGAGGAAUACAUCGGAAUCUACUUUUUCGUGGGUGAUAACGUAGGGAAACUUACGCUAAUACCGCAUACUACCUACGGGUGAAAGCAGGGGAUCUUCGGACCUUGCGCGAUUGAAUGAGCCGAUGUCGGAUUAGCUAGUUGGCGGGGUAAAGGCCCACCAAGGCGACGAUCCGUAGCUGGUCUGAGAGGAUGAUCAGCCACACUGGAACUGAGACACGGUCCAGACUCCUACGGGAGGCAGCAGUGGGGAAUAUUGGACAAUGGGCGCAAGCCUGAUCCAGCCAUACCGCGUGGGUGAAGAAGGCCUUCGGGUUGUAAAGCCCUUUUGUUGGGAAAGAAAAGCAGCAGGUUAAUACCCCGCUGUUCUGACGGUACCCAAAGAAUAAGCACCGGCUAACUUCGUG